UACGUAGGGCGCGAGCGUUGUCCGGAAUUAUUGGGCGUAAAGAGCUCGUAGGCGGCUUGUCACGUCGGGUGUGAAAGACCGGGGCUUAACUCCGGUUCUGCAUUCGAUACGGGCGGACUAGAGUUCGGCAGGGGAGACGUGGAAUUCCUGGUGUAGCGGUGAAAUGCGCAGAUAUCAGGAGGAACACCGGUGGCGAAGGCGGGUCUCUGGGCCGAUACUGACGCUGAGGAGCGAAAGCGUGGGGAGCGAACAGG
Molecule: ribosomal RNA, 254 nt
Filed under: uncultured bacterium
Lineage: Bacteria
Description: partial 16S ribosomal RNA
Rfam family: Bacterial small subunit ribosomal RNA
Source: RNAcentral